AGAGUUUGAUCCUGGCUCAGGAUGAACGCUAGCGGGAGGCCUAACACAUGCAAGCCGAGCGGUAGAGAUUCUUCGGAAUCUUGAGAGCGGCGUACGGGUGCGGAACACGUGUGCAACCUACCUUUAUCUGGAGGAUAGCCUUUCGAAAGGAAGAUUAAUACUCCAUAAUAUAUUGAUUGGCAUCAAUUGAUAUUGAAAGCUCCGGCGGAUAGAGAUGGGCACGCGCAAGAUUAGUUAGUUGGUGAGGUAACGGCUCACCAAGACGAUGAUCUUUAGGGGCCUGAGAGGGUGAUCCCCCACACUGGUACUGAGACACGGACCAGACUCCUACGGGAGGCAGCAGUGAGGAAUAUUGGUCAAUGGGUGCAAGCCUGAACCAGCCAUCCCGCGUGAAGGACGACUGCCCUAUGGGUUGUAAACUUCUUUUGUAUAGGGAUAAACCUACCCUCGUGAGGGUAGCUGAAGGUACUAUACGAAUAAGCACCGGCUAACUCCGUG
This 498-nucleotide ribosomal RNA is filed under the name uncultured bacterium. Its description in RNAcentral is "bacterial SSU rRNA". It matches the Rfam family "Bacterial small subunit ribosomal RNA", at positions 8 to 507 of the family's 1533-position model. The record is from RNAcentral.